This is a long non-coding RNA of Carya illinoinensis, 897 nucleotides long. RefSeq lists it as uncharacterized. The record is from RefSeq and is a predicted model, not a curated record. The transcript is spliced from 2 exons. Lineage: Eukaryota; Viridiplantae; Streptophyta; Magnoliopsida; Fagales; Juglandaceae.
CUUGAACUUAAUCUUUUUAUCUUCCGUUUAUCAAUGCCUUGACUGGAUUGUUAAUCGAGAAAAUUAUCUAGAAUCCGAAAUAAAGAGAGUCUCAAACCCAACCCAAGUUUUCGUUAAUUUGUUUUUCAGAAACUCCAAUUUCAGUUUCGAUUGUCUUUUUGCAUUUCUUUUUAUUUUCACCUCUUAUAAUCGACACCAUGUUACCCAAAAACCAAAAAAAUCUCAUAAAUGCUUUGAUAACCCAUUGUCCCUGUGGAAUACGAUCCUGGACUUAUCCUUGAUACAACUUGACACUUCUGCACUUGGAAGCACAUUCUCGAGACGAGUCAAGUUUUUGGCGCCGUUGCCGGGGACAACUGGUGUUUAUCAGAGCAUUCAUCUACUGCUGAGAGGACGUUCGUGGAGCUGUGAAUCUCUUCACAGCCUAGUUCAAAUAAAUCCAAUUGGAACUGUUGACCGAAGAGAAAGACCUUCAUCUGUCUUGUUGUUCUCAACCAAUCCGAUUCCAAGGUUAAGGAUGGCUAACUGUGUGUCAGAUGCUGUACAUGUUGAAGAUGGAGUUGAUCACACCCAUUCUACUAUUUAAUCAUAUGAUGACGAUAAUUUAAUCAUAUGCUCAGUUACAAGUUGAUGUCAAAAUCCAAAUGAAAAGGGCCACUUGGUCACUCGGACACCACAUGCUCACAUGCGAGGAUGAACGAGCUUGCUUUACUUUUGUUUUCGAGUAGCAGCUGGGGGACAUAGAGAGAUUCGGUGGGAGAAUGAGUGGGGUGUGCUGAUUAGAAUAGAGAGAAGUGUUAGCUGAGGCUGACUCAUUAAAGCCGAUGGGAAGAGAACGUGAACCGAAUCUUGAGUGGAGAGAAAAGAAGAUGGUAAUGAUUCCCUUGAGUGGAGAGA